RNAcentral lists this ribosomal RNA (490 nucleotides) under uncultured Corynebacterium sp. Its description in RNAcentral is "bacterial SSU rRNA". It matches the Rfam family "Bacterial small subunit ribosomal RNA", at positions 8 to 507 of the family's 1533-position model. Lineage: Bacteria; Bacillati; Actinomycetota; Actinomycetes; Mycobacteriales; Corynebacteriaceae. The record is from RNAcentral.
AGAGUUUGAUCCUGGCUCAGGACGAACGCUGGCGGCGUGCUUAACACAUGCAAGUCGAACGCUGAAACCAGAGCUUGCUUUGGUGGAUGAGUGGCGAACGGGUGAGUAACACGUGGGUGAUCUGCCCUACACUUUGGGAUAAGCCUGGGAAACUGGGUCUAAUACCGAAUAUUCACACCACCGUAGGGGUGGUGUGGAAAGCUUUAUGCGGUGUGGGAUGAGCCUGCGGCCUAUCAGCUUGUUGGUGGGGUAAUGGCCUACCAAGGCGUCGACGGGUAGCCGGCCUGAGAGGGUGUACGGCCACAUUGGGACUGAGACACGGCCCAGACUCCUACGGGAGGCAGCAGUGGGGAAUAUUGCACAAUGGGCGCAAGCCUGAUGCAGCGACGCCGCGUGGGGGAUGAAGGCCUUCGGGUUGUAAACUCCUUUCGCUAGGGACGAAGCCUUUUAGGUGACGGUACCUGGAGAAGAAGCACCGGCUAACUACGUG